Lolium perenne is the source of this 1231-nucleotide long non-coding RNA. RefSeq lists it as uncharacterized. The record is from RefSeq and is a predicted model, not a curated record. Lineage: Eukaryota; Viridiplantae; Streptophyta; Magnoliopsida; Poales; Poaceae.
ACCGUCCCACCUCGCACGACUGAAUCCAGAGCUCCCGGAUCAGAAUCCCCGCCACUCCCCAACCUCUGCCUCACGACAGCGACAAAUCCUGGCCGCCACCGAACCCCUAUGGCGAGGGCGCAGGACCUAGUCCAUCCCCUCUGUGGUCCCUUCCCUCUGCAGCUAUCCUCUCCCCACGCGCGGCCCCGUGGACGGCGGCGGCGGCGGAUGCGCUCCGAUCUUCCGCCUCAAACGGCGCCAGCGCUGUACCGCAGAGCUGCUCCGAUAGCACCUACACCUACACCAGGCCCGCACAACUUCUGGUAUGAUUAAUGCUGUUGAUUCUAAUUUUCGUGAAAAUAUGUUCGCCUAUAGUACUCCUCUGUAGUACCCAUGCUUGAAUUUGUUUAAGGCUCGUAUACAUUAGUGUACCCGUGUUCGUCUGUAGUACUGGAGAUUUAAACAAAUUAUUAAUAAUAUCCUUGGAGAGGUGGAGUAUCGCCUGCUGGAGUCUGUAUAUGAGUAUACACUAUAUCAUAAAGACCAACGAAUCUCAUGGAUCUUUUGAGUAGUCUACUUAAAGCUCCAUUACUAAAUAUGGCUAGUUGCACGUGAGAUAACUGAACCAAAAUUUGGCGUGCGAUAUUGCUUCACUGUAUUUGGCAGCACUCUAGUUUUUCUUGCCAAAUCUUGACAAACCUGCAGAGAGCAGUGUCAUCAGUCUUUUGAUGCAAGAUCAUAGGAAGGAAUCAUCCAGUGGUCACAAGGAAUGCAUGAGGUAUGGUCCGGUGCUGCCACAAACGGCAGAACUUGAUUCUGGAGAAUUGGAAAAGGUUUUAGAUCCUAUGCAUGAGGUGCACCGAAGAAAAGGCUGAAGCCAAAGAAGCAUAAAAGAUUGAACACAAAAUACUGCUAUUGCAGGGUGGAGGGUCACAAUCGGCAUAAAUGCGCCAAGUGGAUAGAGGACAACAAGCUGACAGAACCUUAUUAACUACAGCUCUCUUAACAUAUGUGAAGUAAUCAUCCAGGAUUAUACAAAAAUGCCUAAUACAUAUGUGAAGGAAUGCAUGAGGUAUGGUCCAGUGCUGCGACAAGCUUUGUCUUAGUUCCCUGUUGGCUGUAUCCAUUGUCAGCUGAAGCAAACGGCUCUGGGCGAAUGGCUGUGUUGGUGCUACAGCGGCGGGCUACUCUGCUGCUAUCUUGGAGUACCUGACUGCUGAAGUUCUGGAGCUGGCGGGGAACGCAAGCAAGG